Oryza sativa Japonica Group (Japanese rice) is the source of this 3679-nucleotide non-coding RNA. The record is from RefSeq and is a predicted model, not a curated record. Lineage: Eukaryota; Viridiplantae; Streptophyta; Magnoliopsida; Poales; Poaceae.
GCUACUACAGCUUGUCUAGAGCAUUUCGGCGGAAAGCUCCCCGAAAACUAAAAAUUUCCCCGCCUCUUCCCGCCUCGCCACCGCCGCCGCUCGCCUCACCGAUGACGCCGUCGCACGGCGCCGCGGCUGCGGCGGCGUCGUCCUCCGCCGGCGCCGGGCGGAGGGCCGCGACAUUCGCGGGGGCGAGCGUGUUCCUGUCGCGGAGCCUGGUGGCACCCGAGGUGUACGACGCCGUGCACGACGCGCUCCGCCUCAACGGCGCCGAGGUCUUCCUCUGCGCCGACCCCGCCCGGACGGGGCCGCUCGACUUCCACGUCAUCUCCUCCUCCUCCCACGAGAGGUUCGCGGAUCUGAGAGCCAAAGGCUGCAAUUUACUCGGACCACAGUGCAUUCUUUCCUGUGCGAAGGAACACCGCUUCCUACCUAAGCAAGGUUAUACUUGUUGUCUUGCAAUGGAUGGGGUUAAGAUACUUUGCUCAGGUUUUGAAAAAGAUGAGAAGGCAAAGAUUGAACAAUUAGUGACAGCUAUGGGAGGUACUUUACAAAACAAAGCAUACACGGAUGCUAACUUUGUAAUUGCAAAGGAUGUAUUGGCUGCCAAAUACAAAUGGGCUGUGAAUACUCUGAAGAAGCCUAUUGUCAGCAGGAACUGGUUAGAGCAAUGUUGGAUUGAACAUCGUGUUGUACCUCAUGAACCUUACAGAAUCCCUCCUUUUUCUGGGUUGAAUAUUUGCAUCACCAAACUGAAUGUAGACGAACGGAGGGAGUUGGCAAAAAUAAUAGUGCAGAAUGGUGGCCAGUAUUCAGCAAAUCUUACACGGCGGUGCACUCAUUUAGUUUCAAAUGAACCUGGAGGUGACAAGUAUGUUGUGGCCCAAAAAUGGGGUAAUAUCCACAUAGUAGUUCCCAAAUGGAUCGACCAAUCUGUUGCUCGAAAAGUUUGCCUUGAUGAAAGUGCAUACCUUGUUUGUCAGAAUUCCACUAAUAUUAAUGGUGUAAAACAUUCCCUUAAGGAACAACACAACCCUGAGAUCAGUAGUGCAAGUUUUCAACCUGUUCCAACAACAUCUGUAGAUGACUCAGUAUCAACGUCACAGUAUGUGCCUGCUUCAUUUGAUGACGCUUCAAAGAUCUGCAGUACUGAUAUUGGCGCACCUAGUUUCCAAGAGACAAAAGAACUACAGGUUGAUAGCCAUGUUGCUGAGGACUCAGAGGCAGAAGAUGAUGACCUUUAUUUAUCAAAUUGUAGAAUUUCUCUGGUGGGUUUUGAGGAGAAAGAGUCGUCAAGGUUAGUCAUGAUGAUACGCAAUGGUGGUGGAUCCCGGCAUGUUAUGUUAAGUGAGAGACUCACACAUAUUAUUCUUGGUGCACCAUCAGAGGAAGAAAAAAAGGAGGUGAGACGUCUGGCUGCUUGGGGUGUAAUCAAUGUGGUAAAAGCAACAUGGUUAGAAGACUGCAACAAAGCAAAAAAGGAGGUGAAAGUAUCCCCAAGUUAUGUGGCUAAUGAGUUGCUCGCGAAAGAGUUUUCAUGUGCGGUUAUGGAAAAAACUGUUAUGCGGGAAACAAAAGCAGCCAAAAACUCAGGUGGAAUUUUUCAUAUUCCAACCGUCAAUGACUUGCAUGAUAAACAACUUGGAAACGAUCUGUCAUCUGAAAGAAAAUCAGCACGGGGCAAACAUGAAACCAUGAAUAGUAACCGGACAGCAACGAAGUCUGCAAUAUCAAGUCAACAGAAUGGAGUGGCUAGUACUAGCGAGUACCACCCCAAAUUUCAAGUAAACUCUUCUGCAAUAAAUCGGCAGAGUAGCAGAUCAUCAAAUACUUUCAAAGGGAGAAUAUUUUGUUUCUCAAAUUCAUUUUCCCACGAUCGGAGAGCUCAGGUUGUUGACUGGGUCAGAGAAGGUGGAGGCAUUAUGGUGGAUGAUGCACAAUCAACAGUUGUGGAUUUCAUUAUCGAGAGCCACGGACAGAAUAGCAUGCUCCGCGACUCUUCUCAUUCAACUGCUGUUUCCACUCAUUGGAUACGCUCAUGUUUGGAGGAGGGCUGCUUCCAAGAUGUGGGAAGCCAUCCUAUUUUCUCACCUUUGUGCUGUCGCAUCCCGUUUCCUGGGUUUGAAGAUUUUCGUUUCUGUGUGUCACAAUAUGAAGAGAAAGAUAGACUUCUGCUGAAGAACUUGUGCUUUAUCCUCGGAAGUAAAUUUACAGAGAAAGCAACAAAGAAAGUGACCCAUCUUAUCUGCAAAUUUGCAAGUGGUCCAAAGUAUGAGGCUUACUAUAGUAGGGGAAUUCCAACCAUAACAGCAGAGUGGCUCUUUGAGUGUGUAAGACAGCACACUGUUUGCAGGAUAGAAUUGUCCCUUUUGACCAGUUUCAGCCAAAACCACCUACUUCUCAGGACAGAGAUGCUGGUCUAUGCACUGUUAGUCAAUAUCCCACACAGGCCGCAAAGACAAUUUCCAGAUUUGACUGCUCUGAGUCGCAUACUGAAUCUCAAUUACCAAGAAGCAGUUCAAAAUACAACUCCGGUAAUGCCUCUGUUAAUGAGGAACCAAAUGAUCCUGGUGUUAGUAAAAGGAGGCGAUUAUCCGAGUUUGGCAAAGCUAAUGAUACAUCUGGAAACAUAGGAAGAACUGAGGAACUCCAGGAUAGUACCCCUGUUCCUGAUGUUGCAGAUGCAAUAGAGGACCUACUGGUUCAAUCAUCCAAGAUUCAGGACGUACAACCUCCUAGGAGUAUUUUUGCACCCGAUGAUUCUGUUCUUAAUCAAGAUCAGGAAAAUACACACUCUUUUGGCAUUUCAAGGCACUGGUUGAACAUGCCACAGAAGCUACACAGCACCCCUGACACGAAAGUUCAAAGUGGGAACUCAGCCACCACCUCUGCUGCCCCUCCUGCCGCAGCCACUGCCUAUUAUCCUUUCAGUGAAACUCAGACUGAGUCUCAGGUCGUUGGCUAUGAAGAAGAUUUGACUGGCAGGCAAAAGAUUAUCGACAGAGUUCGUUCUCAGAGCAUUAAUGUCACCCCGGCAGCUGAAAUGUCUUCCGAUACUUAGGAGACGAUCAGAUCUGUCCAUAAAUUGCAGUGGAAGAACAAUAGUAUCAUGAAAUCUACCUGUCCAGCCUUGUUGGUAUUUUUCAGCAAGACAGCAAGAGUGCAAGACAGAUGGAAUAUAAUCUGGAGGCUAUUCCAAGGCAGAGAACAUGUGCGAAUGGUCACCAAGUUCAGAAGAUUCUCAUGGAAUGUCACUGAGCAAAGUGCCUGUACCUCAACUUUGGCAUCCAGUAAAUCUAACCCAGCUGUAUAUUACCAAGAACGUUUCUUGAUUAUUAGAUCCGAGGGUAGCAAAGCUAAUGGAGACGCUCUUUUUUUUUUUGGUUGAGUACAGUGGCUCUGGAGCGUGUAGCAUGUCAAAAAGGCUGUACACUCUAGUAUUUAGCAGCUCAGUUGGUGACUUGGUGUUAUGGUUGGCUUAUGAAAGCACCAGAGGCCAAAUUUUGUUCAUCUCUCGUAUGAUGUACAGGGGCAGAUCUGAAAGACGGAGAAGCAGGUUAGAGUCCAGAACUGAAGGGCCAAACUUUGUCCUGUUUCGAAUUACAAUUUGGCUGUUUUGCACAAUUCAACGGAAAAUUUAACACAGGCAAGUAAUCUGUCUGUAAGUAACACAACGUUGCGUGAUCUA